UUAAAUUGAAGAGUUUGAUCAUGGCUCAGAUUGAACGCUGGCGGCAGGCCUAACACAUGCAAGUCGAGCGGUAGCACAGAGAGCUUGCUCUCGGGUGACGAGCGGCGGACGGGUGAGUAAUGUCUGGGAAACUGCCUGAUGGAGGGGGAUAACUACUGGAAACGGUAGCUAAUACCGCAUAACGUCGCAAGACCAAAGUGG
This 201-nucleotide ribosomal RNA is filed under the name Klebsiella quasipneumoniae. RNAcentral's name for it is "partial 16S rRNA. Bacterial SSU". It matches the Rfam family "Bacterial small subunit ribosomal RNA", at positions 1 to 209 of the family's 1533-position model. Lineage: Bacteria; Pseudomonadati; Pseudomonadota; Gammaproteobacteria; Enterobacterales; Enterobacteriaceae. The record is from RNAcentral.